ACCUACUUACAGCCACCGAGCGCCAGAAGGCCCAUCUCCUGGGGAAUGGAAAAGUGCCCAGCCGCUGGGAGGCCUCAAGCUGGAGAGCUACGGGGGAAGCCGGGCAGGUGUGGGGCUGGGAGAAGCUACUAAGCCCCACACCCCAGGUGCUCUGGGGCCUCACAGCCCAGCUGCAGGGAGAUGGAACACUGUGAGCAGCUGUUCUUCUUCCUGGCCAUUUGGUUCAUCUACUUCUUUUCUGAUGCCAACCUCUCUUCCACCUACUCAGGGGCUGGAAGGGCGACUGGAGAGCCAAGCCUCUGCGAGUGAGGACAGAGAAUGGCCAAAGGCAGAGCCACAGGGUAGACCUUUGCACCUUGGGAGGAGAGAUUUGGAGAAUGGUGCUGCCUGGGCCCCUUUGCCCCCACCAAACCGCAGGGGUACCAUGGCCCUGACCUGCGUUCAGAGGGCCGAGUCAAUGUCACAGGAAGGGGAAGAGACAUGUGCCCGCAGACCCUGUGGUCAUGGAGGGGGUGGAAGAUCUCUGGAGGGCAGCAGGGCCACAGCAAGGCUCUGAGGUCCUGAGUCUUCUCUGUCCGUGGACUUAAACUCUGCGUGUUUACAGCUAUUCUGUGCCUGGGUCCAGGCUCUAGUGAGAAAUAAACUGCCUUCGGAGCCAGGUCGUUGACAGGAAUGACAGCCUGGCAAGCUGCAGUGACUGCACACAGCUACCCUGUGAGCUCCACUUGUGUGGGUGCAGGUGGGUGACAGGAGUGUGUGACACAGACAGGCACUCCACCAGGAGGAAACCCACAGCAGACGUCAACCAUCGCUUUAUUAAGGCUGCGAGUCGGGGGGCUGAGUCAUGCACUCCACAGACACCCCCACUGCUCCCAAGGUCCACUUUUGGAUGACCCUGAAGGCAGAGACUCCUGAGAUCUGGGCCACAAUCUAGGGAGGCACAUUCGGGGCCCGGGAUGCUCCCAGGCUGCUCUGGUAUAUCAGGAAGGAAAACAGGCCAGGGUUAGGAAAGCUGCUCCAUGGUCCAGGCUGCUCUGAGGGGCAGAGCCUUCCCACCGUGCUGCUGCAGCAUCUGGCUUCAUCCCUCCCGAGUCCAUCCCAGUCUGAUCAGGUGGCCAAGGCUGGAGCAAGGCACAGCUCACUCUGACAAGAUAAACUGCAAGAAAUGUGAGAGGCGACAAGAGAAGGAAAAGGCAGAAUGCCCUUAUCUGGAGACCUGGCUUAGACCACACCCAUUCCAUGAAGCCACCCCGGAUUGCCCCUUUCCUGUGCUUUCAGAGCCCACUAGCCCUUCUCAGCCUCCAAGAUGACAACAGCAAUUCUGAACCACUUAGAGGCAAUUCACCCUUCAAGAGGUCAAUUUCCCUUUUCUCUGGCUGAUGUGUUCCCCACUAUCUUUUCUGUACUACAUGAGGGGCUCCUGGCAAAUGGCUUCCUGAAGACAUCAAAGAUGAGUACCAAGUGCCAAAGCCUGACAAGCAAGACCCAAGGAGACCUGAGUUGUCAACUGAUGUACCAGACAGGGCUGUUGCUGCAGAAAACUCCAUAAAAGUUCCAAGGGUGCCAGAAUGAUUUUCUGAAAUGCCUGCCUAACUCUGCUGUCAGCCACUUUCUUCCAGAGCCCAUAGCACAUCAUCAUUUAGUUGAUCAAAGAACAGCAGGGCAGGGCAGUGGCUCUGUUCCAGUAGCCCAGCUACACAGGCUUCUCUAGAUGGCAGGAACAUAUGUAUGAAUUUCUGGUGAAUCAGAGCAGAAUUCUCUCACACUAAAUUUUUAUACACUUGGUUCUUU
RNAcentral lists this non-coding RNA (1791 nucleotides) under Pan troglodytes (chimpanzee). The record is from RNAcentral. Lineage: Eukaryota; Metazoa; Chordata; Mammalia; Primates; Hominidae.